ACACGAUAAUACUAAACUAUCCGCAAGGGUAGGACGGAAAACCUAAGGGUCUCUCAGAGAUAGCCGGGUCGCCGAA
Molecule: non-coding RNA, 76 nt
Organism: Geobacteraceae bacterium GWC2_53_11
Lineage: Bacteria; Pseudomonadati; Thermodesulfobacteriota; Desulfuromonadia; Geobacterales; Geobacteraceae
Source: Rfam